This 483-nucleotide ribosomal RNA is filed under the name uncultured bacterium. RNAcentral's name for it is "partial 16S ribosomal RNA". It matches the Rfam family "Bacterial small subunit ribosomal RNA", at positions 28 to 507 of the family's 1533-position model. The record is from RNAcentral.
GACGAACGCUGGCGGCGUGCUUAACACAUGCAAGUCGAACGCUGAAGCUCAGCUUUUGUUGGGUGGAUGAGUGGCGAACGGGUGAGUAACACGUGAGUAACCUGCCUCCUUCUUUGGGAUAACGCCCGGAAACGGGUGCUAAUACUGGAUAUUCACUGGUCUUCGCAUGGGGGUUGGUGGAAAGGGUUUUUCUGGUGGGGGAUGGGCUCGCGGCCUAUCAGCUUGUUGGUGGGGUGAUGGCCUACCAAGGCUUUGGCGGGUAGCCGGCCUGAGAGGGUGACCGGUCACAUUGGGACUGAGAUACGGCCCAGACUCCUACGGGAGGCAGCAGUGGGGAAUAUUGCACAAUGGGCGCAAGCCUGAUGCAGCGACGCCGCGUGAGGGAUGGAGGCCUUCGGGUUGUGAACCUCUUUCGCUCAUGGUCAAGCCGCAGCAAUGGUUGUGGUGAGGGUAGUGGGUAAAGAAGCGCCGGCUAACUACGUG